UGCAAGUAUAAUGAUGGCUUCAUUCAUACAUGUUGUAGUAUUUCAAGCAUAACUUGAGCUACAAUAGUUAGAUUGAUGUCAUUCUUGUGCCAAUGCAAAGCUAAGAGACAGGCUACAACUUUCAUGUUUACCACUUUGUCCAGUUCAAAAGAGAUCAAGGUGAAAAUUGCAUAGUAAAAGGCUAGACUACUAUAGUUCUACACAAGGCAACACAAUGGAAUAAGAAACGUGCCCUUGAGUUACUCAAGGCUACAACACUGUGAUGCACGAGUGCAUCAUACAAAAUCCAAGGAACAAAGUGUCAUGACGCUGGUGAUGUGAAAUAACGCAUACUUGGUGUCACGAUCCGGUACUCCCAUCGAGCCCGUGACAACCACCCCGACGUCCCGGUAGACAUUCGUUACCCGGAGUGCCAACCAGAACCCUGUAAGGCUUUAGUACCAUUUUUUUUUC
Molecule: long non-coding RNA, 453 nt
Filed under: Theobroma cacao (cacao)
Lineage: Eukaryota; Viridiplantae; Streptophyta; Magnoliopsida; Malvales; Malvaceae
Description: long non-coding RNA (TCAC_LNC002919)
Source: RNAcentral